RNAcentral lists this small RNA (1528 nucleotides) under Pan troglodytes (chimpanzee). RNAcentral's name for it is "retained intron". The record is from RNAcentral. Lineage: Eukaryota; Metazoa; Chordata; Mammalia; Primates; Hominidae.
ACCAAUUGGGACAUCACAUCCCUGGCUCUGGGUUAGAAAGCUGACAGUCCUUGAUCCUGUGGCCACUGCCCCAUCAUUCCUGCUCCUGAGGACUCAGUCUCAUGGCUGUGGCAGAGGUGUCCAGGACCUGCCUGCUCACGGUUCGUGUCCUGCAGGCCCAUCGCCUACCCUCUAAGGACCUAGUGACCCCCUCUGACUGCUACGUGGCUCUCUGGCUGCCCAUGGCCUGCAGCCACAGGCUCCAGACACGCACGGUCAAGAACAGCAGCAGCCCUGUCUGGAACCAGAGCUUUCACUUCAGGAUCCACAGGCAGCUCAAGAAUGUCAUGGAACUGAAAGUCUUUGACCGGACCUGGUGACCGGAGAUGACCCUGUGUUGUCAGUACUGUUUGAUGCGGGGACUCUGCGGGCUGGGGAGUUCCGGCGUGAGAGCUUCUCACUGAGCCCUCAGGGUGAGGGGCGCCUGGAAGUUGAAUUUCACCUGCAGAGUCUGGCUGACCGUGGCGAGUGGCUCGUCAGCAAUGGCAUUCUGGUGGUGAGUGUGCCAGUGCUCUGGGAGGCGGUCUGGGGUCCCCGGGACUCCCUCAUGCCAGCGACUUGAGGUACAGGCCCACCGCUGCCUCAGCCUGGGGACCCUGGGAUUUCAGUUUGUUAAGGGAAUACAGUCUCAAGGGCCCAGGUAAUGAAGUGCAGACCAGCAGCAGCCAGGGUGCUGCGAGGGUGGGUCCCUGAAUGGGGGGUGGGGUUAGUGUCUGAGGGGCUGUCUUCAUGACUCAGGCCCGGGAGCUCUCCUGCUUGCACGUUCAACUGGAGGAGACAGGAGACCAGAAGUAUGAGUCCCCAACCCACUGGGACAGCCCCUGGCUCUCAGCUCUUGUCUUCCCCCUUUAAGCAUUGGACAAUUCUCCCUGGGGCCUGAGCUUUCCCCUUAGGCCUUCUCGGGGGACCGUGGUGGGGGAUCCAUCUCCACCAGACCAUUUCAGCGGGGAGAGGGAGGUGCCCUCCAGGCCACGCAGCAAGAUGGGUUCUGUGGGCAGAGAUACCGUCCCCAGCCUCUCUGCUCUGGUUCCUGUUUCCAGCCUCAGAGCACAGAGUUCAGCUUGUGGUUCCUGGGUCCUGUGAGGGUUCGCAGGAGGCCUCUGUGGGCACUGGCACCUUCCGCUUCCACUGCCCAGCCUGCUGGGAGCAGGAGCUGUGUAUUCACCUGCAGGAUGCCCCCGAGGAGCAACUAAAGGUGCCACUGAGUGCCCUGCCCUCUGGUCAAGUGGUGAGGCUUGUCUUCCCCACGUCCCAGGAGCCCCUGAUGAGAGAGGAGCUGAAAAAAGAAGCAGGACUGAGGGAGCUGGCCAUGCGACUGGGCUUCGGGCCCUGUGCAGAGGAGCAGGCCUUCCUGAGCAGGAGGAAGCAGGUGGUGGCCGCGGCCUUGAGGCAGGCCCUGCAGCUGGACGGAGACCUGCAGGAGGAUGAGAUCCCAGUGGUAGCUAUUAUGGCCACUGGUGGUGGGAUCCGGGCAAUGACUUCCCUGUAU